GGCGGCUCGAGUGGUAACCGUUAUUAUUGGGUCUAAAGGGUCUGUAGCCGGCCGGAUAAGUCUCUUGAGAAAUCUGGCAGCUUAACUGUCAGGCUUUCAGGAGAUACUGUCUGGCUCGAGGCCGGGAGAGGUGAGAGGUACUUCAGGGGUAGGGGUGAAAUCUUGUAAUCCUUGAAGGACCACCAGUGGCGAAGGCGUCUCACCAGAACGGACCUGACGGCAAGGGACGAAAGCUAGGGGCACGAACCGGAUUAGAUACCCGGGUAGUCCUAGCCGUAAACGAUACUCGCUAGGUGUCGGCCACGGUGCGACCGUUGUCGGUGCCGUAGGGAAGCCGUGAAGCGAGCCACCUGGGAAGUACGGCCGCAAGGCUGAAACUUAAAGGAAUUGGCGGGGGAGCACCACAACGGGUGGAGCUUGCGGUUUAAUUGGAUUCAACGCCGGAAAUCUUACCGGGACCGACAGCAAUAUGAAGGCCAGGCUGAAGACUUUGCCGGAUUAGCUGAGAGGUGGUGCAUGGCCGUCGUCAGUUCGUACUGUGAAGCAUCCUGUUAAGUCAGGCAACGAGCGAGACCCACGCCCACAGUUGCCAGCGUACUCUCUGGAGUGACGGGUACACUGUGGGGACCGCCGCUGCUAAAGCGGAGGAAGGAAUGGGCAACGGUAGGUCAGUAUGCCCCGAAUAUCCCGGGCUACACGCGAGCUACAAUGGUUGGUACAAUGGGUAUCUACCCCGAAAGGGGACGGGAAUCUCCUAAAACCAAUCUUAGUUCGGAUUGAGGGCUGCAACUCGCCCUCAUGAAGCUGGAAUCCGUAGUAAUCGCAUUUCAACAGAACGCGGUGAAUACGUCCCUGCUCCUU
RNAcentral lists this ribosomal RNA (861 nucleotides) under uncultured Methanosaeta sp. RNAcentral's name for it is "bacterial SSU rRNA". It matches the Rfam family "Archaeal small subunit ribosomal RNA", at positions 478 to 1338 of the family's 1478-position model. The record is from RNAcentral. Lineage: Archaea; Methanobacteriati; Methanobacteriota; Methanomicrobia; Methanotrichales; Methanotrichaceae.